AAGUCGUAACAAGGUAACCGUAGGUGAACCUGCGGUUGGAUCAUUACCAAAUAUCCAAUGGGAAAGAGCGUUCCUAGUGCAGUCUAACGACCGCAUUAGGCCCACGUCUCUUUUUCCAUUUCCCCACCUCUUGUGCAAUGUAAUGUAUUUGGCGGGCCAUGCUCGGCGGUUACUAGGAUUUGUGCCUAGUAAUGGUUGGAGAUUGCUUAUGAAGGCGGCCCUACACGGACCGCCCUCAACCGUCAUUUUAACACACCUAAUAUUAUCUAUACCAAUAAUCUGACGUUUAUAUGCUAGGGGGCGCGUUUGCGUAACCUGGAACAUAACCGAAAACAACUUUUGACAACGGAUCUCUUGGCUCUC
RNAcentral lists this unclassified non-coding RNA (363 nucleotides) under fungal sp. RNAcentral describes it as "partial internal transcribed spacer region". The stretch from base 1 to 46 matches the Rfam family "Eukaryotic small subunit ribosomal RNA", at positions 1786 to 1831 of the family's 1831-position model. The record is from RNAcentral. Lineage: Eukaryota; Fungi.